Molecule: long non-coding RNA, 1139 nt
Organism: Sander lucioperca (pikeperch)
Lineage: Eukaryota; Metazoa; Chordata; Actinopteri; Perciformes; Percidae
Exons: 2
Source: RefSeq, a predicted model, not a curated record
UCCCCCUCUUCCUCUCUGCCCUCCACAGAUCAGCCCUGCUGUGCUUUUCACAUUGGCACAUGAUGGCCAGGUUUUAAGCCUGCCUGUUACAUUUCAGUGGUAGACCCUCUUGACACACAUGGACGUGCACGCCCGCUGACUCACCAACCUGCUCGUCUGUCACAGUGAUUAAGUGUGAUCAAUGCUGCGCGGUAAACGUGUCUGUGCUAAUGUACAAUAAUAUGUCCUGUACAACAGGAGCUGGCUGAGAGGAAUGAGGUGGCUGAGACAAAGAGAAAGUCAGAGAUAAUCUCAACAUAGGCUCUAAAUUAUAGGGCGUUGCUUUGAUGCUAUAUAAUAAAAAUGGUCAAGGCGUUUAUAUACGCCUGGUCAAGGCGUUUGGUGUGUAGGCACACCAAAGUACACUCAACAUGUACACUGUAUGUAUAAAUGUGGAAGAUAGAAGCAGAGAGUUUAACUGUGCCCUGAUAAGUAUGUAUGGAAGUAUAUUGUAUUGUACGGUGUAAAUAUGUGUAUGGGCAAAGAGAGCGUGUCUGUGAGUGGGUCCACAGGGACAGAGAUGGAGAAAGAAAGAAAGUAACAAAGAAAGAGAGAAGAGCGAGAAAGUGGGACAGACAGCAGCGACACAGCUCUUAACUCCCUCCUCUCCUGCUCCAUCCUCCUGUCGUUCUCCUCUUUCAUUUGCCACUGAGGGGAAGGGAAGGAGGUCACCCACUCCUACAAGCACUCAAUCAACCUGUGCCGGUGACCUUGCUCGUCCUGGAUACCAUGCCCGCUCCCUCUGUUUGUCCGCCUGCUAAGCUGCCAUCCUGCUGCCAUCUCUCUGCAGCCGGUGCCAGGUUACACUGCGAGGAGCACAGAAGUGUCGCUCCACCAGAUGCACACUUUUCUGCCCAUGCUGUGCCAAAAUUUCAAUGGCAGACAGCUCUGUUUUACUUCAGUGUAUCAUGUUAAGAAAGAUCUUUGACAAGGAUCAUGACAAAACAUGCCCAGGUUAAUUAGUAUGUGGGGGGUUCUUCUCCCUCAUAUGCAACGUUGAUGUGCUGCUGAAGAGUGAUUUUUUCAUUAUGAAGGAAUGGUUUUGCCAAAGUGAAAUAGAGUGAAUGAGCGACAUGUAUAUUAAAAGGUCCAAUAUGUAA